This 704-nucleotide ribosomal RNA is filed under the name Symbiodinium sp. clade A. RNAcentral describes it as "eukaryotic LSU rRNA". It matches the Rfam family "Eukaryotic large subunit ribosomal RNA", at positions 86 to 797 of the family's 3401-position model. Lineage: Eukaryota; Dinophyceae; Suessiales; Symbiodiniaceae. The record is from RNAcentral.
AUGGCGAACGAACAGGGAUCAGCUUGGGUUGGAAACCGGGGCUUCUGCCUUGGAUUGUGGCCUUUAGACAUACUACCAACGGCGGCGCGAGCGUAAGCCUCUUGGAACAGAGCGUCUACGUGGGUGAGAAUCCUGUGUUUCGCUUGAUGCCCGCCGUGCACGGUACUUGCUCUCAGAGUCACGCUCCUCGGAAUUGGAGCGUAAAUUGGGUGGUAAAUUUCAUCUAAAGCUAAAUACAGGCUCGAGACCGAUAGCAAACAAGUACCAUGAGGGAAAGAUGAAAAGGACUUUGAAAAGAGAGUUAAAAGUGCUUGAAAUCGCUGAACUGGAAGCGAAUGGAACUAGUGCUCUGGUUGAGAUUGCUGUAAAUGGCUGCGACAUCUGGGCUCUGGAACGCAAGUCCUUUGUCUGGCUUGAAGUAGUCGCUUGCAAUGUGUCUCAGCUUGAACAUCAACUUCUAUGCAUACGUGAGGAUGGCCCUUGGCUCAUGCUGUGUUGCUGUGGCGAUACUCUUGUGCUUCUGGGGAUUCAGGUGUGUGUGGAUUGUUGAUCAAUUAGUUCCAUUCGACCCGUCUUGAAACACGGACCAAGGAGUCUAGCACUUGUGCAAGUUCUCAGGUGUCAAACCUCUGUGCGCAAUGAAGGUGACUGCUGGGAUUUUUUGCACCAGCAACCGACCAAUCAAUUGGGAGAAGUUUGAGUAA